RNA transcript from Frieseomelitta varia, 1515 nucleotides. It is a transcript of the gene named MOB kinase activator-like 2, with no coding region annotated. The transcript has 6 exons. Lineage: Eukaryota; Metazoa; Arthropoda; Insecta; Hymenoptera; Apidae. The record is from RefSeq and is a predicted model, not a curated record.
GAAAGAAAGAAAGAAAGGAACAAUAGUAUAGUUAACAGAGACAUACCUAGUUGCUUCGCGAUAGAGAGGGGUAAGAAGUUUCGAGGAUAGUUUGUUGGGAUUGACCAAGAACGAGAGAACACCCGGCGAUAAUCGGUGUCGCAGCCGGUGUUCGAUGAGAACCGAACAAGAUUUGGUGCAUACCCAGCGUACGUGAAAAGAUCCUCGGGCACGAGGACGGGGCGCCGAAGAGAUCGUCCUCGACAACGACGAUCACGACGACAACGAUGCUGCGCUCGCCGGCGCGCGUCGUUCUCCAGGAUUCUUCCGCCUCGACGUCCUCGACCCUGUCGGCGCCACCGACGCCGGUCCACCACGGCGCCGCCACCAGCUCCACCGUCUCCUCGCGUCUUUCCCUCCUCGACACCUGCCACAGGAAGAUCAGGUUCUUCGGCGAGCUUGUCGCAAAAGCCCGACGAAAGGAGAAGGAUGCGGGAACUACAGAGGAUCCGAAAUUGUACCUUGAAGAAGCGGCCCUUGAAAGGCAGCUACCAGAGCUGGACUUGAGGAUGUUGGUCGAUUUACCACCCGGUUUGGACUACAACGAAUGGCUGGCCUCUCACACCCUCGCACUAUUCGAUCACAUCAAUCUCAUUUACGGAACGAUAUCCGAGUUCUGCACGAUGACGGGCUGUCCCGAUAUGACCGGUCCUGGCUUAAGAACUUAUCUGUGGUUUGAUGAGAAAGGGAAGAAAACGAGAGUGGCAGCGCCACAAUAUAUAGAUUAUGUUAUGACUUUUACACAACGCACCGUUAGUGACGAAACUAUAUUUCCUACGAAAUAUGCAAAUGAAUUUCCUAGCUCGUUCGAAUCGAUAGUGCGUAAGAUCCUGCGGCUACUGUACCAUGUGGUGGCACACAUUUACCACUGCCACUUCAGAGAGGUAGCACUUUUGGGGUUGCACGCUCACCUCAAUUGUGUGUUUGCCCACCUCACGCUCCUUAAUCAACGCUUCAACCUUAUUGAUCCCAAGGAAACGGAGAUCUUAGGAGACUUAGAGGCUGCCCUCUUGGGUGACUCGACAUCAUCGUCAGCGCCUUCAUCACAAACCUUAGCCAUCCAGGAGACUCCGACCACAGCCACCUAGAUCGCAAUGCACAGCAAGCAAGAGGUUGCAGUUCCUGAGACUAGGUGACGAUAGGCGUUUCGUUUGUUUUUUUUUUCCCACCUUAUUCUUUCUCUUCUCUCCUCUUCCCUUUUUUUCUCUCUUCUCUUUUUUUUUUCUCUCUUUCUAUUUCCCCUUUUCCUCUUCUCUCUUUCUCUUUUCCAUUCUGUUUUCUAAAUAGAAGAUGCGAACGACAGAGUUUAAGCAUUAACGACUACAUACGCAGGUGGAGCGAAAGCGCAAUUCUGUAAAAACCAGUAGUACCUGUACAUAGCGAAGUGUGAACAACUACAUGAUGUAAUUAGGUUCCUCCGUUUGUUGUUUGUGAGAUUGUACAUAAUUUAUUAAACAGUAAGAUAUACGAAAGAGA